ACGCUGGCGGCACGCCUAACACAUGCAAGUCGAACGAAGUAGCAAUACUUAGUGGCAGACGGGUGAGUAACAUGUGGGUAUCUUCCCUAUGGCCUGGAAUAACACGAGGAAACUUGUGCUAAUACCGGAUAAGUCUUUACGGAGAAAGCUUUAUGCACCAUUGGAUGAGCCCGCACUUGAUUAGUUUGUUGGUAGGGUAAUGGCCUACCAAGACUUUGAUCAAUAGCUGAUUUGAGAGGAUGAUCAGCCACAUUGGGACUGAGACACGGCCCAAACUCCUACGGGAGGCAGCAGUGGGGAAUCUUGCACAAUGGAGGAAACUCUGAUGCAGCGAUGCCGCGUGAGUGAAGAAGGCCUUUGGGUUGUAAAGCUCUUUCGUCGGGGAAGAAAAUGACUGUACCCGAAUAAGAAGGUCCGGCUAACUUCGUGCCAGCAGCCGCGGUAAUACGAAGGGACCUAGCGUAGUUCGGAAUUACUGGGCUUAAAGAGUUCGUAGGUUGUUGAAAAAGUUGGUGGUGAAAUCCCAGAGCUUAACUCUGGAACUGCCAUCAAAACUUUUCAGCUAGAGUAUGAUAGAGGAAAGCAGAAUUUCUAGUGUAGAGGUGAAAUUCGUAGAUAUUAGAAAGAAUACCAAUUGCGAAGGCAGCUUUCUGGAUCAUUACUGACACUGAGGAACGAAAGCAUGGGUAGCGAAGAGGAUUAGAUACCCUCGUAGUCCAUGCCGUAAACGAUGUGUGUUAGACGUUGGAAAUUUAUUUUCAGUGUCGCAGCGAAAGCAAUAAACACACCGCCUGGGGAG
This 799-nucleotide ribosomal RNA is filed under the name uncultured Pelagibacteraceae bacterium. RNAcentral's name for it is "bacterial SSU rRNA". It matches the Rfam family "Bacterial small subunit ribosomal RNA", at positions 33 to 880 of the family's 1533-position model. Lineage: Bacteria; Pseudomonadati; Pseudomonadota; Alphaproteobacteria; Candidatus Pelagibacterales; Candidatus Pelagibacteraceae. The record is from RNAcentral.